CUGGUGGCCGCACGGCCUCCCAGGCAGGCCCGCAGUCACGUGCGGGGACCCGGGGUCGGGCUGCUGGGAGGGGGCCCAGCGCGCAGCUCGGAGCUCUGCGGCCUAUACUACGAGGUCGGGUAGUGGCUGCGGCGCCUGCAGGACCAGCUGGCCGCCUGCGACUCCCUCAUCGCGUGUCUCCGCGCCCGGCUGACCGCGCUGGAGGGGGACACUGCGCGGUCCCUGGUGGACGCGCUGCUGGAGCAGGUGGCCCGCUUCCGGGAGCAGCUGCAAUAGCAGGAGGACGGCGCCGCGGAGGCCCAGAUGCACCAGGAAAUAGGAAGUUGAGAGGCUUACUGAGCGGCUAGGAGUGAAAGAGAAGGAGAUGCAGCAGCUGCUGAGCCAGCCACAGCACGAGGGAGAGAAGGAAGUUGUCCUGAUGCGGAGGAGCAUGGAGGAGGGGAAACCGGCCCGGCGGGCCAGUGACGUUCUGUGCCUCUCUUUGGCCGACGAGACCCACCAACUGCGGAGGACGCUGACCUCCACUGCCCACAUGUGUCAGCAUCUGACCAAGUGUCUGGAUGAACGACAGCAUGCACAAAGGAACGUGGGGGAGAGAAGUCCUGAAAGUCAGAACAUACAGGUGGGGACACCUCUGUUCAGAGUGUUAUUGAGGAAGAAAAUCGACUGUUAAAACAGAAGGUGACUCACGUUGAAGACCUCAAUGCCAAGUGGCAGCGAAUCGAUGUCAGCAGGGACGAAUACGUGAGGGGGCUCCAUGCACAGCUCAGGGGGCUGCAGACCCUCCAGGAGCCCGAGCUGAUGAGGAAGAUCUCCCAGCUCAACAGGUAGUUGGAAGAGAAAAUAAACGACUGUGCAGAAGUGAAGUAGAAGCUGGCGGCCUCAAGGACGGCCCCAGAUGCUGCACUGGAAUGGAUGCAGAUACUGGAACAGCAGAUUCUCGCUUACAAGGAUGACUUCAUGUCAGAAAGGGCAGAUCCGGAACGGGCUCAAGGUAGGAAUCAGGAACUGGAGGAAAAGGUCACCUCUUUGCUGCACCAGGCGUCCUGGAGACAGGAUUCUCAAGAGCCAGAUGCCUGCUGGAUUCAUGCUGGGAGCAAAACUGCCAAGUACUUGGCCACCGAUGCAGUGGAGCUUAUUGCGCCUGGUGGCUGGAGGCCUGGGACUGGGUCCCAGCAGUUGGAACCCCCUGCAGAGGGCGGGCAUCCUGGCACAGCCCAGAGAGGCCAGGGGGACCUUCAGUGCCCUCACUGCCUGCAGUGCUUCUGUGACUAACAAGGUAAAGAGCUCCUCAGGCAUGUGGCCGAGUGCUGCCAGUGA
This is an RNA transcript of Mandrillus leucophaeus (drill), 1320 nucleotides long. It is a transcript of the gene named TNFAIP3-interacting protein 2 pseudogene, with no coding region annotated. The record is from RefSeq and is a predicted model, not a curated record. The transcript has a single exon. NCBI's taxonomy places the organism in Eukaryota, Metazoa, Chordata, Mammalia, Primates, Cercopithecidae.